GCGAGUGAUGCAUAAAGCCUGCGAGGAAGUACCCAUGAGGUAGGUUGGUGUUGUACAAUUUAUGUAAGAAUAAAGUACUACUUUUGAUCACCAAUCUGAAGACCAAACUACUCAUUUGGCCAGUGUGUUAAGUUAUAUCCGGAUCAGAACUGUGUCAUGCAGGUCAAUUCAAGGUGUUGGUGAAGACUUUUAAAGCCUUGAAUUGUUUGGAUCCAGGAUACUUGAAGGACAUCUAUCUCCAUAGAAGUCUGCCUGCCCACUGAGGUUAUCUGCAGAGGACCUUCUCUGUGGCACAUUAAUCAUCAGAUGUAGUCACUGGAAAAGAUAAUGAAAAAAUUGUGUUGCCAAGCUAAAGUUUAUAGUUAUUCACCUUAAAUAUUAACCUGAAUUAAAUUGUUUGUAUUUUGUUGUGAAUCACUGUAGGUACCCUCUGAAUGGAACUACAUGUUUUAAGGCAAAUAAAUAUGGU
Long non-coding RNA from Hemicordylus capensis (graceful crag lizard), 469 nucleotides. RefSeq lists it as uncharacterized. The transcript is spliced from 3 exons. NCBI's taxonomy places the organism in Eukaryota, Metazoa, Chordata, Lepidosauria, Squamata, Cordylidae. The record is from RefSeq and is a predicted model, not a curated record.